Molecule: ribosomal RNA, 447 nt
Filed under: uncultured bacterium
Lineage: Bacteria
Description: bacterial SSU rRNA
Rfam family: Bacterial small subunit ribosomal RNA
Source: RNAcentral
CCCAGACUCCUACGGGAGGCAGCAGUGGGGGAUAUUGCACAAUGGGGGAAACCCUGAUGCAGCGACGCCGCGUGGGUGAAGAAGCGCCUCGGCGCGUAAAGCCCUGUCAGCAGGGAAGAAAAUGACGGUACCUGAAGAAGAAGCCCCGGCUAACUACGUGCCAGCAGCCGCGGUAAUACGUAGGGGGCAAGCGUUAUCCGGAUUUAUUGGGUUUAAAGGGUGCGCAGGCGGGCUGUUAAGCCGGCGAUAAAAAUUCAGGGCUCAACCCUGUCGAGCCGUCGGAACUGGCAGUCUUGAGUGGGCGAGAAGUAUGCGGAAUGCGUGGUGUAGCGGUGAAAUGCAUAGAUAUCACGCAGAACGCCGAUUGCGAAGGCAGCAUACCGGCGCCCAACUGACGCUGAGGCACGAAAGCGUGGGUAUCGAACAGGAUUAGAUACCCCCGUAGCA